UGGGAACUUAGAAGAGAUAUGCAAAAGAA
This 29-nucleotide non-coding RNA is filed under the name Rattus norvegicus (Norway rat). Lineage: Eukaryota; Metazoa; Chordata; Mammalia; Rodentia; Muridae. The record is from RNAcentral.